GAGUUUGAUCCUGGCUCAGAUUGAACGCUGGCGGCAUGCCUUACACAUGCAAGUCGAACGGCAGCACGGGAGCUUGCUCCUGGUGGCGAGUGGCGAACGGGUGAGUAAUGCAUCGGAACGUAUCCUGGAGUGGGGGAUAACGUAGCGAAAGUUACGCUAAUACCGCAUAUUCUGUGAGCAGGAAAGCGGGGGACCUUCGGGCCUCGCGCUCUUGGAGCGGCCGAUGUCGGAUUAGCUAGUUGGUGAGGUGAAGGCUCACCAAGGCGACGAUCCGUAGCAGGUCUGAGAGGAUGAUCUGCCACACUGGAACUGAGACACGGUCCAGACUCCUACGGGAGGCAGCAGUGGGGAAUAUUGGACAAUGGGGGCAACCCUGAUCCAGCCAUGCCGCGUGAGUGAAGAAGGCC
RNAcentral lists this ribosomal RNA (407 nucleotides) under bacterium enrichment culture clone ALO1_GLFRUDD03FTOB5. RNAcentral's name for it is "bacterial SSU rRNA". It matches the Rfam family "Bacterial small subunit ribosomal RNA", at positions 9 to 416 of the family's 1533-position model. The record is from RNAcentral.